GGGUUCAUAGUACAAUGGAUAGUAUGACGGCCUCCGAAGCCGUAGAUCCAGGUUCGACUCCUGGUGGACCUACCA
RNAcentral lists this transfer RNA (75 nucleotides) under Verrucomicrobiaceae bacterium. RNAcentral describes it as "tRNA-Arg". It matches the Rfam family "tRNA". Rfam says of the family: Transfer RNA (tRNA) molecules are approximately 80 nucleotides in length. Their secondary structure includes four short double-helical elements and three loops (D, anti-codon, and T loops). Lineage: Bacteria; Pseudomonadati; Verrucomicrobiota; Verrucomicrobiia; Verrucomicrobiales; Verrucomicrobiaceae. The record is from RNAcentral. RNAcentral also lists the same sequence under 3 other names.